UCCAGACUCCUACGGGAGGCAGCAGUGGGGAAUAUUGCACAAUGGGGGAAACCCUGAUGCAGCGACGCCGCGUGAGUGAAGAAGUAUUUCGGUAUGUAAGGCUCUAUCAGCAGGGAAGAAGAUGACGGUACCUGAAUAAGAAGCCCCGGCUAACUACGUGCCAGCAGCCGCGGUAAUACGUAGGGGGCAAGCGUUAUCCGGAUUUACUGGGUGUAAAGGGAGCGCAGACGGCAGUGCAAGUCUGGAGUGAAAGCCCGGGGCCCAACCCCGGGACUGCUUUGGAAACUGUUAAGCUGGAGUGCAGGAGAGGUAAGUGGAAUUCCUAGUGUAGCGGUGAAAUGCGUAGAUAUUAGGAGGAACACCAGUGGCGAAGGCGGCUUACUGGACUGUAACUGACGUUGAGGCUCGAAAGCGUGGGGAGCAAACAGGAUUAGAUACCCCGGUAA
Molecule: ribosomal RNA, 446 nt
Filed under: uncultured bacterium
Lineage: Bacteria
Description: bacterial SSU rRNA
Rfam family: Bacterial small subunit ribosomal RNA
Source: RNAcentral